GCAAACUUGGUCAUUUAGAGGAAGUAAAAGUCGUAACAAGGUUUCCGUAGGUGAACCUGCGGAAGGAUCAUUAUCGAGUUUUGAACCAGGUUGUCGCUGGCCUUUGUAUGAUUUGGCAUGUGCACACCUGGCUCGUCCACCUCUUUACACCUUUGUGCACCUUCUGUAGGCUGUGUUCUGAAGGUCAGCUUCUGGGUUGACUUUUGACCUGCCUAUGUUUCUCUUGCAAACGCUUCAGUUGUAGAAUGUGAUUGUUUGUGGAAUAAACUAUAUGUAUAACUUUCAGCAACGGAUCUCUUGGCUCUCGCAUCGAUGAAGAACGCAGC
This 326-nucleotide unclassified non-coding RNA is filed under the name uncultured fungus. RNAcentral describes it as "partial contains small subunit ribosomal RNA, internal transcribed spacer 1, and 5.8S ribosomal RNA". The stretch from base 1 to 73 matches the Rfam family "Eukaryotic small subunit ribosomal RNA", at positions 1759 to 1831 of the family's 1831-position model. The record is from RNAcentral. Lineage: Eukaryota; Fungi.